This 465-nucleotide ribosomal RNA is filed under the name uncultured bacterium. RNAcentral's name for it is "partial 16S ribosomal RNA". It matches the Rfam family "Bacterial small subunit ribosomal RNA", at positions 28 to 507 of the family's 1533-position model. The record is from RNAcentral.
GACGAACGCUGGCGGCGUGCUUAACACAUGCAAGUCGAACGGAAAGGCCCCUUUGGGGGUACUCGAGUGGCGAACGGGUGAGUAACACGUGAGUAACCUGCCCUUGACUUCGGGAUAACUUCAGGAAACUGGGGCUAAUACCGGAUAGGAAUCCUUGCUGCAUGGUGGGGGUUGGAAAGCUUCGGCGGUUUUGGAUGGACUCGCGGCUUAUCAGCUUGUUGGUGGGGUAGUGGCUUACCAAGGCUUUGACGGGUAGCCGGCCUGAGAGGGCGACCGGCCACAUUGGGACUGAGAUACGGCCCAGACUCCUACGGGAGGCAGGAGGGGGGAAUAUUGGACAAUGGGCGGGAGCCCGAUGCAGCAACGCCGGGGGCGGGAUGACGGGCUUCGGGUUGUAAACCGCUUUCAGCAGGGGCGAAGCUUGUGGUGACGGUACCUGCAGAAGAAGCACCGGCUAACUACGUG